AACGAACGCUGGCGGCAUGCCUAACACAUGCAAGUCGAACGAGACCUUCGGGUCUAGUGGCGCACGGGUGCGUAACGCGUGGGAACCUGCCCUUAGGUUCGGAAUAACUCCCCGAAAGGGGUGCUAAUACCGGAUAAUGUCUUCGGACCAAAGAUUUAUCGCCUUUGGAUGGGCCCGCGUUGGAUUAGCUAGUUGGUAGGGUAAAAGCCUACCAAGGCGACGAUCCAUAGCUGGUCUGAGAGGAUGAUCAGCCACACUUGGACUGAGACACGGCCCAGACUCCUACGGGAGGCAGCAGUGGGGAAUAUUGGACAAUGGGGGAAAGCCUGAUCCAGCAAUGCCGCGUGAGUGAUGAAGGCCGUAGGGUUGUAAAGCUCUUUUACCCGGGAUGAUAAUGACAGUACCGGGAGAAUAAGCACCGGCUAACUCCGUG
This 433-nucleotide ribosomal RNA is filed under the name uncultured bacterium. RNAcentral's name for it is "partial 16S ribosomal RNA". It matches the Rfam family "Bacterial small subunit ribosomal RNA", at positions 29 to 507 of the family's 1533-position model. The record is from RNAcentral.